UGUUGACAUUUCGGUUACUGUUGUCCGUUCUUCGCCUCGGGUGAUUCGCCGAGCUGCUGUCGUAUUUGGGCGAAUAUGUUCAUCAUACCCUACUUCGUUGCUAGCCAUAUUAAUAAAUGACAGUGAGCCUCUAUCAGAAUGCCUGAUGUGUCCCUAAAACAAGUGAAAAGUGUAACUGAACCUACUGUGAAAAGUGACCACAUGAAUGGCCUCGUGAGUGGCAGCAUGUGAUUGGAGGGCUCUGGUGUAUACAUACCAUGAAAUCCUAAUAUGAGGCUAUCCACAAACCCCAGUUAUAAACAACAGAAAAUCACUUCAGUGUUUACUCUUGACUGGUGCAGAGCUCGCUGGACUUAGAAAAUAUCUAAUUUCUCCACACACGCGAGUGCUAUUACAGACAUGUGCCCCCCAAAUUUUUUUACAUUUAUGGCAAGGUCACUGAACCCUUCUCCAUGGGAUGUGAGUUUUGUGCUUAUAUGUAACGCAGACGUGAUAUCCAGAUUAACUGAAAGCGCCAAGAACUCUGUGGCAGAACUCACUGGAAGCUUUGGGAAGCAAUCUUGGGUUCACUUUAGCAAGAAGCAACUGGUAUUACUGGGUAUACUAGCAUGUACCUGUGCUGUUGCUGUGAUUGUGGGUGUCUCUGUUGGUUUGGUUCAAGACAGUGCCACGGAGCAAUCAAGCAAUGUCAAGCUUGCAGGUACUUCAAAUUCACAUUUGUUUGAGUCAUGGGAUGACAAUACUGAGGACAGUGAAUACGUGUCAACUGAACCUCCACCAUCACCAAGCGAGCUUGGUGAAUUUGACUCUGCAGCUGUCAGUGCAGAUGGGCAACCAUGUGCCCAGAUAGCCAUUGAAAUUUUGCGGAAGAAUGGAAGUGCUGCCGAUGCUGCAAUUGCUGGGCUGUUCUGUGUUGGUGUGAUCAACACGCAAUCAAUGGGCCUUGGUGGUGGUUUCCUUUUAACGUAUUAUGAGAGGUCAUCUGGCAAGGCAUACACUCUUGAUGCCAGAGAGACUGCACCAGCAGCAGCCCAUGAAGAUAUGUACCAUGGAGAUGGAGACUUAAUGGAGAAAGGAAGAAAUAGUUGGUGGAAGGAUAAGAAAGCAAGUUUAAAGGGUGGUUUAGCUGUGGCUGUCCCAGGAGAACUGCGGGGCUACAGAGAAUUAUAUACAAGAUUUGGAGGCCGACUUCCUUGGAGUGAUCUCUUAGAGCCCACCAUAAAUUUGUGUGAAGAGGGACACCUCGUCAACUGGCACAUGGCCAGGGCACUCAAGUUCAACCAAAUUGACAUACUGAAUGAGCCAAGCAUGAGUGUCUUCAUCAACCCUGAAACUGGUGAUGUAUACAAAGAAAAUGAUACUUUGAAGAGGCCACAGCUUGCUAAGACUUUGAGAAUUUUACAAGAAGACCCAGAUGGCUUGUACACUGGCCAGUUAGCUAAUAAACUGGCAGAUGACAUUCAAGAAUUUGGAGGCAUCAUUACUUCGGAAGACCUACAAAACUACAAGCCAGAAUGGAGAGAAGCCAUGAAUGUAAGUCUGCAAAAUGGAAACAUGAGGAUGUUUUCAAUAAUGCCUCCUGGAUCUGGCCUCAUCCUGGGAUUCAUCCUUAACAUUCUCGAUGAAUACGGCUUCACACCAGACAGUAUGGAUGAAGGACAUAGAAUUCUUACUCACCACAGAAUCACAGAAGCUAUGAAGUGGGCAUAUGCCAAGCGGACUGAAUUAGGAGACUCAAAUUUUGUGGAUGUAACAGAGUUAACCAAGAACCUGACUUCUGAUGCUUUUGCCAAGAACAUUCGAAGUCAGAUCACUGACAAUCAAACCUUUCAAGAUCCAGAACAUUAUGGUGCUGUGACAGCCAUCAAGGAAGACCAUGGAACUGCUCAUUUCUCCCUCUUGGCCCCUGAUGGUGAUGCAGUGUCUGUCACCAGCACCAUCAAUUUAUAUUUUGGUGCUGGGAUACGAUCAAAGCAGACUGGCAUUGUCCUCAAUGAUGAGAUGGAUGACUUCUCAGCUCCAAACAUAACUAAUUAUUUUGGUUUGCCACCAUCACCAGCCAACUUCAUCAGGCCAGGAAAACGUCCUUUGUCAUCUAUGUGCCCAGCAGUAUUUGUUGACUCUGAAGGUGAUGUACGGCUAGUCAUUGGUGCAGCUGGAGGAACAAAGAUCUCAUCAGGUGUGGCUUGGGCCUCAUUGAACAACCUAUGGCUGGGUGAUGACAUCAAGGAAGCCAUUGAUGCCCGCAGAAUCCAUCACCAGCUCUUCCCAAUGACACUGAGCUAUGAAGAUGGAAUAGUAACUUCACAGAGAGGAGAAUGUAUCAGCAGUGUGCUUGACGUGCUGGCAGGUCUUAUCCAAAGAUGGGUGAGACAGGACGACAUCGGUUACGGUGGGUGGCUGUGGUGCACGCCUACUUGUCCCUCAGGAGGCACCUCCCCUGCCUUACUGGCCGCCGUCGCCACCCACUUGUCACGCAGCGCGGCGGACCGUUGCAGGAUGAUAAAAGAAACGGCGGCGCCGCUUUUUGUUACACUGGUGGAGGUACGUCUCCUUGUCGCCCUGCUUUUCGCUUACGACGGCCGGCGAGUAUGGUAAAGGCGGCGUUGUUGUUGCUUUUAGUUGAAGUGAUGGCGGGCCUGGUGCCUGCCCGGGGGAUGUGGCCCACCACCAGCUACUACAUUGACUAUGUGGUGGCUAAGAAUUGCUUCGGGGAGGACGCAGCCCUGGAAAUGGAGCGAAUAGGAAUGGAAGUGGGGAAGGAGUGCUGGAUGAAGGAAUGGGAGGACAACUUCGGCAUGACAUCAGGACGCAGCGGCAGGACGAAACGGAACAUCCUCAAGAUGCCAAACCCUGCAUCUACGAAUCUACUGGUGUGCAAUCUGCGAGCCUUGAACGUGUUGACGCCAAAGUACGAAAUGAACUACCCGUUGGUAGACGCCUGGAUCAGCACCAACGUGAGUGACGCUGGCGUCAGAGAAAAGCUCCUCAGGCUGUCGAAAGAGUGCCAGCCUCUGCCCAUCCCUUUGGCUCCCUUGGAGACUGUGGAGAGGAUGGAGGACGUGGAGUCUAUCAUGAAGGGAGUGAGGAAAUUCCAUAUCUACAUGGACUGCAUGAAUCUGGGUGGCACUGACAUCUGCAUGAACAAGGAGAUGGAGCGUGUGAAAGAGAAGUGGGAUAACAUGAACUAUCCCUGAAGACCAUCUGUAUGGAACUAGUUUGUAACUUCCCUCGUUGGGUUUUCUUGCUUAACGAUGCAAAUUAAAGACAAUCAAACUGUAAAAA
This is an RNA transcript of Scylla paramamosain (green mud crab), 3285 nucleotides long. It is a transcript of the gene named scoloptoxin SSD14-like, with no coding region annotated. The transcript has 18 exons. The record is from RefSeq and is a predicted model, not a curated record. NCBI's taxonomy places the organism in Eukaryota, Metazoa, Arthropoda, Malacostraca, Decapoda, Portunidae.